UGUAAAUGUAAAUGUAAAGUCGCUCUGGAUAAGAGCGUCUGCUAAAUGACUUAAA
Molecule: non-coding RNA, 55 nt
Organism: Salmo salar (Atlantic salmon)
Lineage: Eukaryota; Metazoa; Chordata; Actinopteri; Salmoniformes; Salmonidae
Source: Rfam